Molecule: ribosomal RNA, 413 nt
Filed under: Neisseria sicca
Lineage: Bacteria; Pseudomonadati; Pseudomonadota; Betaproteobacteria; Neisseriales; Neisseriaceae
Description: bacterial SSU rRNA
Rfam family: Bacterial small subunit ribosomal RNA
Source: RNAcentral
AUUGAACGCUGGCGGCAUGCUUUACACAUGCAAGUCGGACGGCAGCACAGAGAAGCUUGCUUCUUGGGUGGCGAGUGGCGAACGGGUGAGUAACAUAUCGGAACGUACCGGGCAGUGGGGGAUAACUAAUCGAAAGAUUAGCUAAUACCGCAUAUCUUCUGAGGAAGAAAGCAGGGGACCAUUUGGCCUUGCGCUGUUUGAGCGGCCGAUAUCUGAUUAGCUAGUUGGUGGGGUAAAGGCCUACCAAGGCGACGAUCAGUAGCGGGUCUGAGAGGAUGAUCCGCCACACUGGGACUGAGACACGGCCCAGACUCCUACGGGAGGCAGCAGUGGGGAAUUUGGACAAUGGGCGCAAGCCCUGAUCCAGCCAUGCCCGCGUGUCUGAAAGAAGGGCCCUUUCGGGUUGUAAAAGG